GACGAACGCUGGCGGCGUGCUUAACACAUGCAAGUCGAACGAUGAAGCUGGAGCUUGCUCCGGUGGAUUAGUGGCGAACGGGUGAGUAACACGUGAGCAAUCUGCCCCUGACUCUGGGAUAACUGCGGGAAACUGUAGCUAAUACCGGAUACGACACCUUCGGGCAUCCGAUGGGUGUGGAAAGAACUUCGGUCAGGGAUGAGCUCGCGGCCUAUCAGCUUGUUGGUGAGGUAACGGCUCACCAAGGCGA
This 250-nucleotide ribosomal RNA is filed under the name uncultured bacterium. Its description in RNAcentral is "partial 16S ribosomal RNA". It matches the Rfam family "Bacterial small subunit ribosomal RNA", at positions 28 to 276 of the family's 1533-position model. The record is from RNAcentral.